AUUCUGGAAGGAUGUUGACCCACGAACCUGAUAGUAUUGAGCUCAGACAUGCUGCUGUGCGUAAUCAAUUAUCAGCUUCUGACUUAAGCAUUCAUGCUGCAACGUUUCUUCCACCGAGGACAAGCUCAACUGAUGUGAUCAGUUUUCCUACCAGACGUGCUAGAAUGCUUGAUGAAACAUCUGCUUCUAACUCAGGAACUCAUGCUUCAGCCUGUGUUCCA
Lolium rigidum is the source of this 221-nucleotide long non-coding RNA. RefSeq lists it as uncharacterized. Lineage: Eukaryota; Viridiplantae; Streptophyta; Magnoliopsida; Poales; Poaceae. The record is from RefSeq and is a predicted model, not a curated record. The transcript has 3 exons.